AGUCGAGCGGGCCCUUCGGGGUCAGCGGCAGACGGGUGAGUAACGCGUGGGAACGUGCCCUUCGGUUCGGAAUAACUCAGGGAAACUUGAGCUAAUACCGGAUACGCCCUUAUGGGGAAAGGUUUACUGCCGAAGGAUCGGCCCGCGUCUGAUUAGCUAGUUGGUGAGGUUAUGGCUCACCAAGGCGACGAUCAGUAGCUGGUCUGAGAGGAUGAUCAGCCACACUGGGACUGAGACACGGCCCAGACUCCUACGGGAGGCAGCAGUGGGGAAUAUUGGACAAUGGGGGCAACCCUGAUCCAGCCAUGCCGCGUGAGUGAUGACGGCCUUAGGGUUGUAAAGCUCUUUUCUCCGGGACGAUAAUGACGGUACCGGAGGAAUAAGCCCCGGCUAACUUCGUGCCAGCAGCCGCGGUAAUACGAAGGGGGCUAGCGUUGCUCGGAAUCACUGGGCGUAAAGGGCGCGUAGGCGGCUGAUUUAGUCGAGGGUGAAAGCCCGUGGCUCAACCACGGAAUGGCCUUCGAUACUGAUUGGCUUGAGACCGGAAGAGGACAGCGGAACUGCGAGUGUAGAGGUGAAAUUCGUAGAUAUUCGCAAGAACACCAGUGGCGAAGGCGGCUGUCUGG
Molecule: ribosomal RNA, 626 nt
Filed under: uncultured bacterium
Lineage: Bacteria
Description: bacterial SSU rRNA
Rfam family: Bacterial small subunit ribosomal RNA
Source: RNAcentral